ACUCAGCCUCAAAUCUAUUAGGACAAAACCGUUUUAUGAAUCAUAAAAUUCUAAGAGUUUGACUUGGCCAACUUGAGCCAUGCAGUAGGUCAAAAACACCAUAAAAGGGCAAGCAAAUCAGGCAGUUGCAACUCUGAAUAUGUCCCCCCUCCCCAUCUAAUUUACCUCCCAUGACAUACACAUACGUACUCACAUGUUUCCAACCAUUCCAACUGUGCAAUUCAUUUUGAACAUGUCAGUUGACGCAUUUCCGAGCGUGAACGCAUCAAUCACUCGUCUUCACAUGAGCUGUUGAGCGCAGGUGCCUCCGAAUACGCUUGGACGUCCAAUCAUGGCGGGAGAGCCGACCUACUGCUCAACACACACGCCAUAGUCAACAAGAAGCGUCUGACUCCAGUUCGGGAAGCAGAAAAUGCUCCCACGAUGCACUUCGGCGUGACUCCAAC
Hippocampus zosterae (dwarf seahorse) is the source of this 446-nucleotide long non-coding RNA. RefSeq lists it as uncharacterized. The transcript is spliced from 2 exons. NCBI's taxonomy places the organism in Eukaryota, Metazoa, Chordata, Actinopteri, Syngnathiformes, Syngnathidae. The record is from RefSeq and is a predicted model, not a curated record.